GUGCCAGCAGCUGCGGCGGCUGGCACGAAGGGGGCUAGCGUUGUUCGGAUUUACUGGGCGUAAAGCGCACGUAGGUGGUGCCGCAAGUCAGGGGUGAAAUCCCAGAGCUCAACUCUGGAACUGCCUUUGAAACUGCGGUGCUGGAAUCUCAGAGGGGGUGGCGGAAUUGCUAAUGUAGGGGUGAAAUCCGUAGAUAUUCGGUGGAACACCAGUGGCGAAGGCGGCUAACUGGACUGAUACUGACGCUGAGGUGCGAAAGUGUGGGGAGCAAACAGGAUUAGAUACCCUGGUAGUCCACACCGUAAACGAUGAGAGCUAGUUGUUGGCAGGCAUGCCUGUCGGUGACGCAGCUAACGCAUUAAGCUCUCCGCCUGGGGAGUACGGCCGCAAAGUUAAAACUCAAAGGAAUUGACGG
Molecule: ribosomal RNA, 415 nt
Filed under: uncultured bacterium
Lineage: Bacteria
Description: bacterial SSU rRNA
Rfam family: Bacterial small subunit ribosomal RNA
Source: RNAcentral